UGAGUAACCUGCCCUGGACUUUGGGAUAACCCUCGGAAACGGGGGCUAAUACCGGAUAUGACAUGCUCUCGCAUGGGGGUGUGUGGAAAGUUUUUCGGUCUGGGAUGGGCUCGCGGCCUAUCAGCUUGUUGGUGGGGUGAUGGCCUACCAAGGCGACGACGGGUAGCCGGCCUGAGAGGGCGACCCGGCCACACUGGGACUGAGACACGGCCCAGACUCCUACGGGAGCA
Molecule: ribosomal RNA, 230 nt
Filed under: uncultured bacterium
Lineage: Bacteria
Description: partial 16S ribosomal RNA
Rfam family: Bacterial small subunit ribosomal RNA
Source: RNAcentral